UGUCUCAGGUGGUAAAGAAUCUGCCUGAAAUGCAGGAGACCCAGGUUUGAUCCCUGG
This 57-nucleotide transfer RNA is filed under the name Bos taurus (domestic cattle). It matches the Rfam family "tRNA", at positions 8 to 63 of the family's 71-position model. From Rfam's summary of the family: Transfer RNA (tRNA) molecules are approximately 80 nucleotides in length. Their secondary structure includes four short double-helical elements and three loops (D, anti-codon, and T loops). The record is from Rfam by way of RNAcentral. RNAcentral also lists the same sequence under 5 other names. Lineage: Eukaryota; Metazoa; Chordata; Mammalia; Artiodactyla; Bovidae.